UACGAAGGGUGCUAGCGUUGUUCGGAAUCACUGGGCGUAAAGCGCACGUAGGCGGACUUGUUAGUCAGGGGUGAAAUCCCGGGGCUCAACCCCGGAACUGCCUUUGAUACUGCAAGUCUUGAGUCCGAGAGAGGUGAGUGGAAUUCCUAGUGUAGAGGUGAAAUUCGUAGAUAUUAGGAAGAACACCAGUGGCGAAGGCGGCUCACUGGCUCGGUACUGACGCUGAGGUGCGAAAGCGUGGGGAGCAAACAGG
Molecule: ribosomal RNA, 253 nt
Filed under: uncultured bacterium
Lineage: Bacteria
Description: partial 16S ribosomal RNA
Rfam family: Bacterial small subunit ribosomal RNA
Source: RNAcentral